RNAcentral lists this long non-coding RNA (411 nucleotides) under Aedes aegypti (yellow fever mosquito). Its description in RNAcentral is "lncRNA AAEL020589". Lineage: Eukaryota; Metazoa; Arthropoda; Insecta; Diptera; Culicidae. The record is from RNAcentral.
UGAGCUCAGUUCUGAAACUGUUGAUCGUUGGAUUUUGUUGUAGCAAGUUGUAAAAAAAUGACGUCAUUCAAAUUUAUAAUUUUGUCAACAAUUCUAAUGUGGUUUUGUUGUAUCCGAACAGCACAGGGUUCGCAAGAUGGUUCAGUGGAGGAAUCGUUAGGAGAUGGUGGAUUUCAAAACGAUGAAACACAGACGCAGCCCCGUCACCACAUCAAAGUUUAUGAUGCAAACAAUAAUGGAUGGCGCAAUGUGGAGUUUCAGCUUGCAGUUCAACAUGCUGAAGAAACGUUAAUAGAUACCACACCUGAAAGGAACUCCAACGAUAACGUUCGAAGGUUAAACGAAAAGAAGCUGAAAGUGUUCGACCCACAUACUGGUUCUUGGAUAGAAAAAAUAUUUUUUGUUUGAAAC